UCCUACGGGAGGCAGCAGUGGGGAAUAUUGCACAAUGGGGGAAACCCUGAUGCAGCCAUGCCGCGUGUGUGAGGAAGGCCUUCGGGUUGUAAAGCACUUUCAGUCGUGAGGAAGGUUAUAUCGUUAAUAGCGGUAUGAUUUGACGCUAGCGACAGAAGAAGCACCGGCUAACUCCGUGCCAGCAGCCGCGGUAAUACGGAGGGUGCGAGCGUUAAUCGGAAUUACUGGGCGUAAAGCGCAUGCAGGCGGUCUGUUAAGCAAGAUGUGAAAGCCCGGGGCUUAACCUCGGAACAGCAUUUUGAACUGGCAGGCUAGAGUCUUGUAGAGGGGGGUAGAAUUUCAGGUGUAGCGGUGAAAUGCGUAGAGAUCUGAAGGAAUACCGGUGGCGAAGGCGGCCCCCUGGACAAAGACUGACGCUCAGAUGCGAAAGCGUGGGGAGCAAACAGGAUUAGAUACCCUGGUAGUCCACGCCGUAAACGAUGUCUACUUGGAGGUUGUGGCCUUGAGCCGUGGCUUUCGGAGCUAACGCGUUAAGUAGACCGCCUGGGGAGUACGGUCGCAAGAUUAAAACUCAAAUGAAUUGACGG
Molecule: ribosomal RNA, 587 nt
Filed under: uncultured bacterium
Lineage: Bacteria
Description: bacterial SSU rRNA
Rfam family: Bacterial small subunit ribosomal RNA
Source: RNAcentral